GAACCAUCAGCAGACGAAACUGUUGCAGGUACUGUGGGGAAUGAAAUCUCUUCAACAGGCAAGCAACACAAACAGCCAUCAGCAGAGCAUGGAGCAUCUUCUGGAGUCAGUACUGUGGGACAUUCCCCCAAAGAACCGUCAACAGAGGAAACUGUUUCAGGUACUGUGGGGAAUGAAAUCUCUUCAACAAGCAAGCAACACAAACGGCCAUCAGCAGAGCAUGGAGCAUCUUCUGGAGUCAGUACUGUGGGACAUUCCUCCAAAGGUAAAGCUCCACAGAAAAGAACACCCUGGCAGCCGGCAGAGGUUAGGGCAGUAGAGAGGCAAAUGAAUCAGUUCAUCCGAUCUUGUACUGUACCAUCGAAGAGA
Epinephelus fuscoguttatus (brown-marbled grouper) is the source of this 369-nucleotide long non-coding RNA. RefSeq lists it as uncharacterized. The record is from RefSeq and is a predicted model, not a curated record. NCBI's taxonomy places the organism in Eukaryota, Metazoa, Chordata, Actinopteri, Perciformes, Serranidae. The transcript has 3 exons.